Herpailurus yagouaroundi (jaguarundi) is the source of this 1462-nucleotide long non-coding RNA. RefSeq lists it as uncharacterized. The record is from RefSeq and is a predicted model, not a curated record. The transcript has 3 exons. Lineage: Eukaryota; Metazoa; Chordata; Mammalia; Carnivora; Felidae.
CGAAGCCGCCAGCCGCGGCUGCUGCCCCUGUAAUCCAAGUGGCCUGCCCGGAGGCGCGGCGGGGACCACCGGCGGUGGAGCCAGCCCCCAGCCCGGGCCGCGCCGCCGACUGGGAGAUGAAGCUGAGCCCCAGAAUAGUGAUGCGUCCUCGUCAAGGUCACACAGCGAGUUGGCGGCAGAACGGGAAUGAGAGCGCAGGCCUUCACUGAGUGCCUGCUUGGUGCCCCACACCCGACUAGCUCUGCACACAUGAUCUUGUUUAACCCCGCAACAACACUGCAAGGUUCAGCUGAGAAGAUGAACAGGCCCUAAGGCUUAGCUGCCCCACCCCAGAGCCACACCUGGCUUCCGGGGGCAGCGCUACCCCAGCUCCACAGUCAGACUCCAAAAGCUUCAUCCUCAUACCUCUUCCCCUUCCUAGCCUCCUUCUAUGAUCCUGACUUACCAUUUCUUAGCUUUCUACUGGCUCCAUUUCACUCAUUUAUCCAUAAAUGCAUUCAACAAAAAUUUAUCAAGUACCUACUAUGUGUCACCAUUGUGCCGGCCCUGGGGAUACACCAGAAAGCAGACUGCUCUUUAGAAGCUUGCAGUCCAGCAGGAAGACAGAAUUAACUACACAGAUGUGUAAAUAAAUUUGUAAUUACAAAUCGGUGUUGUAAAGGAAAGUACUGGGUGCUUUAAGAAGUUAUAACAAUAACAUGCCUGAAUGUACGGAUGAGAUGAUUAUCAAGACAAUAAUUACCCAAACAGGGGGGCUGAGGCAACUCCUCAUUUGUAAUCAUGCCCACAAUUCUACAGUGGGUCUCCAGUCCUCCCGAAAUGGUGACCACCCAGUCUGUCCCAGAGGGUCCAGCUGAUGAUGUGGGUGGGAGUGGGAUGAUUAGAUGAUGGCCCCAGUGUCAACAGUCCCCUCUGCUAGCCAGCUCAGGAUUGGGGAGGGCCCAGUCCAGAGCUGGUGAGGAAGCUGGGAGAGAGGCAGGUGAGGGCCAAGGCUUGAGUCUGGGAGCACUGGGAGAGGAGGGGGCAGUGUGCCUACUGAUGAGUGUGUGAGCCUCCAGCAUCAUUCCAGGGAAAAAUUCCUCCUGCUCUGCCUUUUGACUGGGUCCUCCCGUACACACACUUAAACAGAUGCACUCUCCCUGACUCUUUAGGGAAGGGCUGGACCAGCCCACAAAAAGCAUAGUAGAGCUGGACAGGUCCUGCCUUGAUAUCAGACAGCGUUGGGCUCAAAUCCCACUUCAGCCAGUUUCUGACUGUGUGACCUCAGGCAAGGCUCUUGGUAUCCCUCAGCCUUCGUCCCCUUUGAGGUAACAUGAGCCUCUGCCACGGAGGGCUGUGAGGAUUUGAUAAACUCAUGUGCGGAAAGCACUGAAUACAGUACCCAGCCCAUGGUUCACCAUUAAUGAGGGACGGCUGUCACUCUGAUUAUAUAACCCGAUAAUUAAUAUAUAAUGGUAAUAAA